AGCGGCAGACGGGUGAGUAACGCGUGGGAAUCUACCUUGAGCUACGGGAUAACAGAGAGAAAUUUCUGCUAAUACCGUAUGUGGCCUUUGGGCGAAAGAUUUAACGGCUUAAGAUGAGCCCGCGUUGGAUUAGCUGGUUGGUGGGGUAAAGGCCUACCAAGGCGACGAUCCAUAGCUGGUCUGAGAGGAUGAUCAGCCACACUGGGACUGAGACACGGCCCAGACUCCUACGGGAGGCAGCAGUGGGGAAUAUUGGACAAUGGGCGCAAGCCUGAUCCAGCCAUGCCGCGUGAGUGAAGAAGGCCUUAGGGUUGUAAAGCUCUUUCACCGGUGAAGAUAAUGACGGUAGCCGGAGAAGAAGCCCCGGCUAACUUCGUGCCAGCAGCCGCGGUAAUACGAAGGGGGCUAGCGUUGUUCGGAUUUACUGGGCGCAAAGCGCGCGUAGGCGGAUAGAUAAGUCAGAGGUGAAAUCCCGGGGCUCAACCCCGGAAUUGCCUUUGAUACUGUUUAUCUUGAGUGCAGAAGAGGUAAGUGGAAUUCCGAGUGUAGAGGUGAAAUUCGUAGAUAUUCGGAGGAACACCAGUGGCGAANGCGGCUUACUGGUCUGCAACUGACGCUGANGCGCGAAAGCGU
Molecule: ribosomal RNA, 633 nt
Filed under: uncultured Hyphomicrobiales bacterium
Lineage: Bacteria; Pseudomonadati; Pseudomonadota; Alphaproteobacteria; Hyphomicrobiales
Description: bacterial SSU rRNA
Rfam family: Bacterial small subunit ribosomal RNA
Source: RNAcentral